Molecule: ribosomal RNA, 497 nt
Filed under: uncultured bacterium
Lineage: Bacteria
Description: partial 16S ribosomal RNA
Rfam family: Bacterial small subunit ribosomal RNA
Source: RNAcentral
GAUGAACGCUGGCGGCGUGCCUAAUACAUGCAAGUCGAGCGAACAGAUGAGGAGCUUGCUCCUCUGACGUUAGCGGCGGACGGGUGAGUAACACGUGGAUAACCUACCUAUAAGACUGGGAUAACUUCGGGAAACCGGAGCUAAUACCGGAUAACAUGUUGAACCGCAUGGUUCAACAGUGAAAGACGGUCUUGCUGUCACUUAUAGAUGGAUCCGCGCCGCAUUAGCUAGUUGGUAAGGUAACGGCUUACCAAGGCAACGAUGCGUAGCCGACCUGAGAGGGUGAUCGGCCAAACUGGAACUGAGACACGGUCCAAACUCCUACGGGAGGCAGCAGUAGGGAAUCUUCCGCAAUGGGCGAAAGCCUGACGGAGCAACCCCGCGUGAGUGAUGAAGGUCUUCGGACCGUAAAACUCUGUUAUUAGGGAAGAACAAAUGUGUAAGUAACUAUGCACGUCUUGACGGUACCUAAUCAGAAAGCCACGGCUAACUACGUG